Molecule: ribosomal RNA, 398 nt
Filed under: uncultured bacterium
Lineage: Bacteria
Description: partial 16S ribosomal RNA
Rfam family: Bacterial small subunit ribosomal RNA
Source: RNAcentral
AAUAUUGGACAAUGGGCGAAAGCCUGAUCCAGCAAUGCCGCGUCAGUGAUGAAGGCCUUAGGGUUGUAAAGCUCUUUUACCAGGUAUGAUAAUGACAGUACCCUGAGAUUAAGCUCCGUCUAACUCCGUGCCAGCAGCCGCGGUAAUACGGAGGGAGCUAGCGUUGUUCGGAAAUUCUGGGCGUAAAGCGCACGUAGGCGGCGCCGUAAGUCAGGGGUGAAAUCCUGGGGCUCAACCCCGGAACUGCCUUUGAAACUGCAGUGCUAGAAUCUUGGAGAGGUCAGUGGAAUUCCGAGUGUAGAAGUGAAAUUCGUAGAUAUUCGGAAGAACACCAGUGGCGAAGGCGACUGACUGGACAAGUAUUGACGCUGAGGUGCGAAAGCGUGGGGAGCAAACAG